RNAcentral lists this ribosomal RNA (185 nucleotides) under Klebsiella pneumoniae. RNAcentral's name for it is "partial 23S ribosomal RNA". It matches the Rfam family "Bacterial large subunit ribosomal RNA", at positions 2746 to 2925 of the family's 2925-position model. The record is from RNAcentral. Lineage: Bacteria; Pseudomonadati; Pseudomonadota; Gammaproteobacteria; Enterobacterales; Enterobacteriaceae.
UAGCUAAAUGCGGAAGAGAUAAGUGCUGAAAGCAUCUAAGCACGAAACUUGCACCGAGAUGAGUUCUCCCUGAGACUUUAAGUCUCCUGAAGGAACGUUAAAGACGAUGACGUUGAUAGGCCGGGUGUGUAAGCGCAGCGAUGCGUUGAGCUAACCGGUACUAAUGAACCGUGAGGCUUAACCUU